RNAcentral lists this microRNA precursor (59 nucleotides) under Ptychodera flava. Its description in RNAcentral is "Pfl-Mir-10-P3j2_pre stem-loop". Lineage: Eukaryota; Metazoa; Hemichordata; Enteropneusta; Ptychoderidae. The record is from RNAcentral.
UCCCUGAGACCCUAACUUGUGAUGUUACCCACAAUUCACAGGUUAGUUGCUCAGGUACU